Pelobates cultripes (western spadefoot toad) is the source of this 230-nucleotide non-coding RNA. Lineage: Eukaryota; Metazoa; Chordata; Amphibia; Anura; Pelobatidae. The record is from the annotation of a GenBank genome assembly.
AUUUGCAUAAUUUGGAUGUCCAGCACAGUCCAUAAGUUUUUAGACAGGCUCAUACUGUAUCACAUUGUAUUUGAAUUAAGUAAGAACAUCAUGUGGAGACUGCCACACAUGUUGGCUUUAUUUUAGAGUAUUUGGAUCUAUAAACCAUCAUUCAGGUAGAAAUGACAGCCCAUUGUAAACACAGGGAAUCAGACGUAAUUGGACAAAUUGACAAAUUUAAACAAAAUCAG